UUCGGGAAACCGGAGCUAAUACCGGAUAAUAUUUUGAACCGCAUGGUUCAAAAGUGAAAGACGGUCUUGCUGUCACUUAUAGAUGGAUCCGCGCUGCAUUAGCUAGUUGGUAAGGUAACGGCUUACCAAGGCAACGAUGCAUAGCCGACCUGAGAGGGUGAUCGGCCACACUGGAACUGAGACACGGUCCAGACUCCUACGGGAGGCAGCAGUAGGGAAUCUUCCGCAAUGGGCGAAAGCCUGACGGAGCAACGCCGCGUGAGUGAUGAAGGUCUUCGGAUCGUAAAACUCUGUUAUUAGGGAAGAACAUAUGUGUAAGUAACUGUGCACAUCUUGACGGUACCUAAUCAGAAAGCCACGGCUAACUACGUGCCAGCAGCCGCGGUAAUACGUAGGUGGCAAGCGUUAUCCGGAAUUAUUGGGCGUAAAGCGCGCGUAGGCGGUUUUUUAAGUCUGAUGUGAAAGCCCACGGCUCAACCGUGGAGGGUCAUUGGAAACUGGAAAACUUGAGUGCAGAAGAGGAAAGUGGAAUUCCAUGUGU
This 541-nucleotide ribosomal RNA is filed under the name Staphylococcus aureus. RNAcentral's name for it is "bacterial SSU rRNA". It matches the Rfam family "Bacterial small subunit ribosomal RNA", at positions 148 to 676 of the family's 1533-position model. The record is from RNAcentral. Lineage: Bacteria; Bacillati; Bacillota; Bacilli; Caryophanales; Staphylococcaceae.